CAAGAUAAGCUCAUACAUCUUUAUAAUUUAAUGACCUGUACCUGAAACCGACACAGGUAGGUUGGUAGAGAAUACCAAGGGGCGCGAGAGAACUCACUCUAAGGAACUCGGCAAACUGGCCCCGUAACUUCGGAAGAAGGGGCACCCAUCCGUAACAAGGUGGGUCGCAGUGACCAGGCCCAGGCGACUGUUUACCAAAAACACAGGUGUCCGCAAAGUCGUAAGACAAUAUAUGGGGGCUGACGCCUGCCCAGUGCCGGAAGGUUAAGGAAGUUGGUUAUUUCGUAAGAAAAAAGCUGACGACCGAAGCCCCGGUGAACGGCGGUCGUAACUAUAACGAUCCUAAGGUAGCGAAAUUCAUUGUCGAGUAAGUUUCGACCUGCACGAAAGGCGUAACGAUCUGGGCGCUGUCU
RNAcentral lists this ribosomal RNA (413 nucleotides) under uncultured Chlamydomonas. RNAcentral describes it as "bacterial LSU rRNA". It matches the Rfam family "Bacterial large subunit ribosomal RNA", at positions 1609 to 2021 of the family's 2925-position model. The record is from RNAcentral. Lineage: Eukaryota; Viridiplantae; Chlorophyta; Chlorophyceae; Chlamydomonadales; Chlamydomonadaceae.